GGGAGACGCGCGGCCUCCGAGCUCGGAGCCGUCCCGCGGCGCCCGGGCUGAAGGGCUGGCUGGGAGCGGGCAGGCUGGAGAGGAAAGGCGGCCGACCCGCCUGCUUCCCGGCGCCUGAUGCGUGUUGACUGCACGGCUGCUGAAAUGGUUUGAGUUCUGCGUCUCCUUUCCCAACAAUGAACGGUUCAAAACCGCCGGUCCCGUCUGGAUUCGGAAUCUUUAAAAAUACGACCUGCCACACAGAGAAAAAGAUUUCGGUAUUUUUUUCCGUAAUCUUCAUGACAGUGGGGAUUUUGUCGAACAGUCUGGCAAUAGUGAUUCUCAUGAAGGCAUAUCAGAGAUUUAGACAGAAAUCAAAAGCAUCCUUUUUGCUUUUUGCAAGUGGCUUGGUUGUCACCGACCUCUUUGGCCAUCUCAUCAAUGGAACCAUUGCAGUGUUCGUGUAUGCAUCUGAUAAAGACUGGAUUCGAUUUAAUCAGUCAAACGUUCUUUGCAGUGUUUUUGGCAUAUGCAUGGUAUUCUUUGGUUUGUGCCCUCUCUUCCUGGGUAGUGUGAUGGCGGUUGAACGCUGCAUUGGCGUCACUAAGCCAAUAUUUCAUUCUACAAAAAUGACUUCUAAACAUGUGAAAAUGAUGUUGACUGUGGUAUGUCUCUUUGCUGUUUUUAUUGCUUUUCUGCCUAUUCUUAGGUUGAGAGCCUAUCAAAUUCAAGCAUCACGGACCUGGUGUUUCUAUAAAACAGAACAUAUUGAGGACUGGGAAGACAGAUUUUAUCUCUUGCUUUUUUCUUGCCUUGGGUUACUGGCCCUUGCCAUUUCAUUCUUGUGCAAUGCGGUGACAGGAGUUACUCUGUUAAGAGUUAAAUUUAAAAGUCAACAAAGACAAGGCAGAUCUCAUCAUUUUGAAAUGAUCAUUCAGCUAUUGGCUAUAAUGUGCGUGUCUUGCAUUUGCUGGAGUCCGUUCCUGGUGACAAUGGCCAAUAUCGGUAUAAAUGAAAAUCGCUCACUGGAGACAUGUGAAACAAUACUUUUCGCUCUUCGAAUGGCAACGUGGAAUCAAAUAUUAGAUCCUUGGGUAUAUAUUCUUCUAAGGAAAGCUGUACUUAAAAACCUCUACAAGAUUACAAGGCGAUGCUGUGGUAUGCACAUCAUGAACUUGCAUAUGUGGGAACUGAGCUCCAUCAAGAAUUCUUUAAAGGUUGCAGCAAUUUCUGAGUCACCAUCAAGUUCCAAACAAAUAAAUAAACAGUCACUCAACUCAAUGGGGCAAUAAAAUCAAAUACGGUCUGUGAAGAAACAAUGGGGGUAAUGAUCAUACAUUGAGAACACCUUCACACUUCUUAUAAUGAGGUUAAAUGAUUUGUACUUGUUUCAAAUCAUAAGAGUUUUUCAACAUGCUUCUUGAAUCAUGGACAUAAGAACUGGACACUAUUCCAGUAGCAGUUGCAUGGCUGUCAAACACAGAGGAAAUAGAAUGUCUUUACUCCUAACUGGUAUUUCUCUAUUUAUAUAGCCAAGUAACAUUAGGCCCUUUUGGCCAGAGCAUCCCCUGUAUAAUCCAUGUACAGGCUGUAUAACCCAGAAACUGUUUCACAGUCACUGCUUGCUAGGAAAGAGUCCACCAUUCAAUGUCCUUUGUUCCUAGAUGUCUAACUUUAGAUUUGGCUGUAUUAAAAUGUAUAUUGUUUGCUUAUGCCCAGUUUACCAAGCAAUCCAGUGUGCUCAAUAUCCAUGACCCAUUGUUUCAUUAUUUACUACUUAGAGAACUUUGCGUCAGUCACAAACUUUAUCAGUAAUACUUUAUUUUCUUCCAGGUCAUUGCGUAGACCUACUAUUGAUGAUUCAUCAUUUACAAUUAUAUUUCGAGGCCCAUUAGUAAUUUUUAGUUAAUUUAGAGGUCUUAUAACUAGCCCAUUUGUACCACAAUAAACCACAGGACAGAUGAAAAUUAUGGGUCUUGUCUGAUAACCCCUUAACCAGAUAAUGACUACUAUUGAGGUUAUCAGGAAAGAAAUUAAAUCCAAACCAUGUGAGUCUUUAUAAAGGGUAAAGUUGAUCAAAUUCAUUAGCAAAUUUCUAGAAUACCACAGAUGCAUCUGCAGAAAUGUACAUACAAUACACCUGCUUUGUCUACAAAGGCCCACACUGGUGCCUAUAAAAAUAAUUUGAACACAAUGGGUAUAUGCAUGUAAAACCGCAUUCUAGGUAAAUGUGUGCAUGUGUGUGUUUUAUGGGAGCAAAAGGUAUAUUCACUCUUUGCAGAUGUAUUUGGUGUUCUUUUCUUUGCUAAAUUUAAGGCACAUGUUUGAAGUGCUGAGUGCCUUCAAGGAGAUUAGAGGGUACUUGGAGAACAUCUUGAGAUUCGCAGGGCAAAUUCUGCCCUUCACUAUUAAAAUUACUGGAUUGCACUAUUAAAAUUUUUUAUGGAUUGCAAAUUUGAUAUCAAAGUAUAACAUAACCUUUAGUUCUGCAUUAUGAAAAUCAAUACCAUAAUAAUAAUUCUUGCAUCAUUUAAUUAAAGAUAAUAAUUGCAAAUGAUUACAUGCCAAAUAUUAGUCAUGCAGUGGGAAUCAUUUUAAUAACAUUAGUUGUAUACAUUAAUUUUGUUCUCAUAUGGCCUGAUCCUAUCUUAUCCCCAUUUAAAUGAACGGGGCAAAAUCUCCUUUGGGUAUCUACACACAUGCUCCGAGAGCUGCUCUAAAUAAAGUGCCUGGAGCAUCUCGUGUGUCAAUGUCACCACGCUUCAAAAUGGCGGCGGGGUCCUUUAUCUAAAGCUCAUCAAACAAGCUUUAGAUAAAGUGCCCCUGCUGCCAUUUUGAAGUGCAGAGAUGCUGAUACAUGAGAUAAGGAGGCUGGCUGGAGCAUGGUAAUUACCACACUCCACGAUUCAUGUAUAGGUACCUUUUGUGUUCAUUGAGAGCAGGAUCAGGCCUGAGGAGAUUUUGGUAAUGUGUAAGUGUGUUUGGUUGACCUUUGACUUUAUUGCUAUAAUGCACAGUUUUUCUUCAAGGGCAAGCUAUCGUGAUACUACACAGCCAUUAUGGUUUUAAAGGAACACAGAGGUGGUAAGCCAUGUUAUUCAGGCAGAAAUCAGGUCCUAUCUUCUGCCUGAUCUUAAAAGUAGAAAUAUAGCUGUUGAUUCAAAACUAAGGCAAUUCUAAGUGUUGCCUUAAGGUAGAAGGUAUACUACAUCAAGCUACAGAAACUCAAAAAUAACUUUUCCCAAGUAAUUGAAAGAUACUGUCUUUCUUAUAUUUUUUCAGCAAAAGGCAGGAUACCUCAAGAGUUAUAAGUGACCUCUUUAGAUACAAAGACAAUUAACCUUGACUUAGAAAUGAAUAUAACUAAGCAAAGAUAAGAAAGCAAUUCCUAAGCAAUUGAGUCUGUCAUCAUAAUAUAAUUGAUCAUGCCUAUUCAUAUUCUGUUAAAAAAAGCAAGGCGAGUGGUAGGGAGAAGAAGCUUUGAUCUUUGUGUUUGUAUUAUGCUUAGAACCAAAACAAAAGUAGUAUAGAGUUUCUAAUAAUGUGCUGCUUUUGAAUGGAAAAUUACAGUAUUGAAUGUAACCUACUUUAUUUCAAAUAAUUGCUCCACAUUUGCAAAUUCUCAGUAGAUCUAGGCAAAAAAUAUUUUGAUUUUUUUUCAGUUCAGUCACCAAACCUAAGCAGUUGGUUAUUUGCACUGUUUUGAUUGUCAUUGUAGAGGGUGCGCCUAUACACGUGCUUUAAUGCACAUUAGCUUAUUUUAAUGCAUAUUAAAGCGUCACUAAAAAAGUGCUGUUUAGUUAAUUUGUAUUAAAACAGGCUAAGGCACAUUAAGCAUCAUUUAAAAACCAUAGGUGCCUAUACAGGAGCAGGGAGGUUACUCUAAGGUGCUGCAAUUCCAGCACAUCGAAGCAGACUCAAUUAAUCAAGUCUGUGGGAGAGUGGGAAUUACCACACUCCUGAAGCUUCCUGUGUCUCGUAUCAGCAUCCUCAAGCUUCAAAAUGGCAGUGGGGGCUCUUUAAAACUCAUUCACUGAGCUCAUUCAAUAAAGCUUGUUUGAUAAACUUUAGAUAAAGCGCCCCUGCCACCAUUUUGAAGUGAAGGGACGCUGAAACAUGAGAUGGUCUGGGCACUGUACUUAAAGCAUCCCUCCAGGGAGCACAUGUAUAAAUGCCCCGUGCAUUUCAGUUAAUGCUUAUUAAGACAGGUUAAUGUGCAUUUUCUUAGUAUUUCACCAUGGAGGUACUAAAUUUAAUGCACAUUAACUAAAGCAAGUUAAUGCACAUGUAGACAUGCCCACAGUUUAUUGAAAUUUGUGGUACUGUGCCAGUGCUCAUUUUGGCCUCCUUACUGUACAGGAUGUGACACAAAUAUGCCUAUGACAUGAUUAUUCAUCCCGUGGGGUGAGAAUUUUGUGCAAGCAGUUGCAGAAUAAGGUUGGUCUAUACGUUUUUGAGAUAUUUGACCAGUGGCUGAAGCUUAUUUGCAUUCUGUUGUGUGAAUAAAUGUAUCAUGUGAAAUUUCAUGCUACCUGAAUUGUAAAAAAAAAAAGGAAAGAAAAAAGUUAUCUUUAUAUGUAUAUCUGUGUCAUUAUACUUUGUGUAGUGAUAUGUAUUGUACUUAAAUUGCAGCGUCUCAUUAAACCUAUUAAAACAUAUGUUGAGUAAAGAUAUUUUAAAAUGAUGAGAAAACAUGAAAUACUGAAAAAUAAUUCAUUAAACCCUAUAUAUGUACACCAA
Alligator sinensis (Chinese alligator) is the source of this 4719-nucleotide RNA transcript. It is a transcript of the gene named prostaglandin F receptor, with no coding region annotated. NCBI's taxonomy places the organism in Eukaryota, Metazoa, Chordata, Crocodylia, Alligatoridae. The record is from RefSeq and is a predicted model, not a curated record. The transcript is spliced from 4 exons.